This 424-nucleotide ribosomal RNA is filed under the name uncultured prokaryote. Its description in RNAcentral is "bacterial SSU rRNA". It matches the Rfam family "Bacterial small subunit ribosomal RNA", at positions 355 to 796 of the family's 1533-position model. The record is from RNAcentral.
UGGGGAAUCUUGGACAAUGGGGGCAACCCUGAUCCAGCCAUGCCGCGUGGGUGAAGAAGGCCUUAGGGUUGUAAAGCCCUUUCAGUCGUGACGAUGAUGACGGUAGCGACAGAAGGAGCCCCGGCUAACUCCGUGCCAGCAGCCGCGGUAAUACGGAGGGGGCAAGCGUUGUUCGGAUUUACUGGGCGUAAAGGGCGCGUAGGCGGACGAUCAAGUCAGAGGUGAAAGGCCCGGGCUCAACCUGGGACGUGCCUUUGAAUCUGAUUGUCUUGAGUGCGGGAGAGGAUGGCGGAAUUCCCAGUGUAGAGGUGAAAUUCGUAGAUAUUGGGAAGAACACCGGUGGCGAAGGCGGCCAUCUGGACCGGCACUGACGCUGAGGCGCGAAAGCGUGGGGAGCAAACAGGAUUAGAUACCCGCGUAGUCC